This is a long non-coding RNA of Camelina sativa (false flax), 1454 nucleotides long. RefSeq lists it as uncharacterized. The record is from RefSeq and is a predicted model, not a curated record. Lineage: Eukaryota; Viridiplantae; Streptophyta; Magnoliopsida; Brassicales; Brassicaceae.
UCCAAAAUAAUAAUUCAAUCAAAUGCAUAACAUAAAACAUAAAAUUAAAUCAAGACCACAUUUGAGUUUAAUUAUUCUCUCCUAAACAAUCAGAGGUAUUAUAAUCUAAUAGGUCAUCCUUCUCACGGUCGAAAUCACCUUCACCAUCGAGAUGAACCAGAUUAGCUUCUGGAUUUUUCUUCAAAUUCUCUUGAUAGAGAUCAACAAGGUGCUUAGGAGUUCUGCAAGUCUUUAUCCAAUGGUUCUCCAUACUACAUCUAUGGCAAGUGGACUUGGUCUUAUAUUGCGGUUUAAAUGUCCCGCGGCCUCUACCCCGACCACGGUCGAACCCGAAUCGGUUUCCAUGGCCAUUGUAGUGACCCUCACCAUGGGGUAAAUUUUUAAAAUAAAAACCCUUGGCCAAAGGACCUGGAAAGGACAUGAAAAGAAGGCAAGGAAGGAAGGUAGAAGAAUUACUAAAGAAGUGUCCGAGAAAUUCUGGACGGACCGAGAGAUGGCCGAUGGUACUAUGUACCACGUACCAUGUACCGUACCGGACGUACGUGGAACGACCGGACGUACUAGGCGAACACCGAGUGGACAAGGGCCGUGUUCUGGAUGGGAAGCGAGAGUGGGAAGGAACCCACUAAGGAGGGCGAUUUAAAUAUUAAAAGUGGAGUUAGUGGAGUUUCCACUAAGUGAUUAAAUUAAUCACUAAUUUAGCCUAAGUGGAAUUUUCCACUAAGAGUUAAAUUAAUCUAAAGUUGAAGUGAGUGGGAGACAAAAGGAAUUUUUCCUUUAUGAGUUGGCCAAUAAAAUUUCAUGCAAGGGAGAGUGAAGGACAUAAUUAUUUGUCUUUCUAAAAGGUGGCCAAUAAUAUUUCAUGCAAGAGUGAGUGGGGAACAAAGGAGAUUUCGUUGGACAAGUGUUUUGCAUCUUCUACAAGUGUAAAACAUGUAAAAAUUGGUGGCAUCAAAGAGGAACAAAUGCUCUACAUGCAUUGGCUCGCCCAAACCAACCAAACUCACACUCUCCACUAUAAACAGGAGGCCUUAGUGUGUGUUAAGAGAGAUUUUCGUUUCUCUUGCUAAGUUAGAGUAAAGGAGAGAGUAAGAGAAGUUAGAGAGAGUAAGAGAAGUUAGAGAAAGAAAGAGAGAGAGAGUUCUUUCCUUAGAGUUUCUCUUCCGCGAGUUGUUAGCCAAGUGCCGCUAUAGGAGCUGUUCGCGUCAAGUCCUUGCUAGAAGUCUGAUUAGAUUUUGUUCUUCUCAGCCAAGCCAGGUAACUUUAGUGGGGGAAAAGCCUUAGAGGGGAGCGCAGGACGUUAGGCCAGCCAGUGUAGUUUUGGAUUGCCUUUGCAAGGUGUUUUGUUGGUGUAAUCUAAGUUAUCGCUUUUUGGCUCUAGGCCUGGUACCAAAAACGUUAUGAAUGUUUUGUGAACUUUUUCGUUAAGUAAUGAAAGUAUUGAAGUUGUUUUA